UUAAUAUGUGUUAGAAUAUUAUUCUGAAACUGAGGGAGUAUGUUUUUUUUUUUGGAAAUUGAUACUUUUUAAAUCAAGGUAAAUGAAAGUAGUUCACUUGAAAGAGAAAAAAAAAGAAGAAGAAAGUAACUCACUUGAAAUCUUUAUGAGUAACAUGUUGACAUUUAGGUUUUGGACUAUCUUAAAGAAUAAUAAUUAAUAUUCCAAAAUGUGACCUCCUAAAAUAAGAUUUUGUUAAAUUCACGAACGGAAUAAUAUAUGAUAUCCCUUUUCUUUUCUCGAUCUCAGUCGUAUCGUAUAUAAGAGAGACUCCAUGCAUGGAAUAUAUUAAUUUGUUGGCAUUCAAGAAAACUUUAAAAAUGGUUCGAUCCUUUUAUUCAGAUUCUGCAUUACUGCCUUCGUUCCUCCGCGUCGCUCCUUUUACGUUAGCAAACAAAACGGACGUAACUAUCCGUAAGGACCGUAACCCACACUCCAAAACACAUAAGAUGCCUUUGUUUUAAUAUAAUAUUAUAUUGUGACACGUAUCAAGAUCUGUUUGGAUUUAACAAGAAAACAUAUAUAUAUAUAUAUAUUUAAUUGUCAAAUUCGUUACAAGAAAAUAAUUAUCAAACAUAGAGCAUCUUUCUAUAUAUAUUUUUAUUUUUGAGACAUAGCAUCUAUGUUUAGGGUUUAGAUAUGGUUUGCUGAUGUCGUGCUACAAAACAAAAAUGGUAUUAUGAAAUAUAAAUAAACCAAGCUGUGUUGGUUCAAGUGGUAAACGAGUUCCACUCGAACUUCUGUCUAUAUGUUUUAAUUGGAAUAACGCGUAUCCGAAUGUAAGAUUUCAUAGAAUUAGUCUUAAGUAGAUCUCCACAAUUAAUCAAUUAUAUGCUCAUUGAUUAUAUUCCUGAGGUAUGAAAAAACUUAGACUAAUUAAUUUUCAAAGAGAGGUAAAGUCUACAUAUAGAUUUUCUCUGGAUAUUUAAAUAUGCUGAUGUAUUCAUAUCCGCAUGAUCACAUGAUAAAAUGUAGCAGAAUAAUUUCAGACCUAAGUUAUUUUAUAAUCUAAAACUUGCUUAUCUCUGAACCACCGUCGUGUGGUUAAAUAUAUAAUAUAAUUUAGAAUCUCUAGUAUUGGCCUUAUUUGUAAUGAAUUAAACCGAAACCUCACAUAUUCGAUCUGAUUUAUUCUAAUAAACAUGGAAGACAUUUUUUAAUUAUCUAGGUAAUCCAAUAAACAAAAUUAUACUCUAUUAUUCCUAAGAUCAUUGUUACCAUGCAAAAUGUUGGUGGUUUAAUGGUGUUGUAAAUGUUGUUUUUUUUUGUUCAAAAUUUCUUUAAAUAUAAAUGGUCAGAUUAUGAGCUUACAAACUUUCAGUGGUUGACAUAAUACAAUACUAAUCUUCAACAAUACUAGAGCAUCUUUUUCUGUAUGCUUGUGAAAAAAAAGUUUUGUAGAUUACUAGUACCAACAAUUUUUGAUUCGAUUCGUGUUGUUGAGUGCAAAAAGGAAAGCGAUGUGUUAUACUAUUACUUUCGAUCACACGAGGAACAAGAUUUGUCUCUUCGUUUAUAGGAAUUUCAACUAAAACCAAUUCUUUCUUCAAAGAUUCCCUGUUUCAUCUAUAUGCGAUCCAGCUAGCUCACAGUUUUGCUAUCAAUUUCCCCUUCUCAUUUCUUACGUCAUAAACACUUGUUUAAAACUUUUAAAACCAAAAAAGAAAUAAGCACUUGAUUCUUGUAUUUUUUUUUUGUUUAUUACCAAUUAGUUCCUGUAAUGUUUAUCUACUAUCAGUUGGUUCCUUAAUUUUUAUCAGUUACAUCUGCAGCCUUAUAGUUUUGUUUUUACAGAUAUCCACAAUAAAAUUAUAAAUUACAUGUAAAGCCAUAUAUUGUAUUUUAUAUCACUGAAGCUUCUUAUUAGUUUUCAUAUAUCCCACAAGAAGAAUAUUACUGUUACAUAAAAAAUUAGCUUAAAAGGAAAGAGUUUGAAAUUUAUUAGUUGAGUUAAUGGGGCUCACUGAACCUACUAUCAAACUCUUAGGCCUAUAUUUUCAUAGAACCGUCCGAUUGGCAAUGACUUGAGAACGAAGUUAGAUCAUGCACACUCUAACCGCGAAUCGUGGAGAAAGCAUGCCCGUUCGAUUCGUCAUAUUCCCGUUACGGUUUAAAGAUUUGAUGCGAUCGAUUACAUUGUUUGCCAAUUCUGUGAUUCGUUCCUGUAAUGUUUAUCUACUUCAUUGUUUUUGUACAUAGUGGUUUACAUUUGGUUUGUAUAUAUUGGGGUUUAUCACAUAUUUAACUAUUUAGUAUUAUUUUCACUUACUAGUGAUCAAUUAUAUUUGUAUUUUUUUGUUCUACAUUAUAGCCUUUUCUUUCAAUUUGUUGUGUUUAUUGGUGCUUAUUUAAUAUUCAAUUACAAUUUUUUAUGUAUUAGAGAUCAUUAAUCUCAACUUUCAAUUGAUUUUAUGUAGAAUUCAAUUUUUGUACAAUUUGUUUGUUACACUUAUACUGUAUAUAGGCCCAAAUGGGCUUUUAAAAAGCAAGCAGCUGUAAGAACUAGGGUUUCUAAGCUUCCAAAUUGUCGUAGAUUCCAAAUUUUCUAGAUUCGGAACUUUCUACAUGUUCUGAGUAAGCUUUUCUUCCAUUCUCUAUAUUCAAAGAUUUGUUACGUUUUAGUCAUUGUAUCUUCUAAGAUUCGAAAGAUUAGUCAAUCUCUAUAUGCAAUUUUAAGAUUCGUUGAUUUAUAUUUUGGGAAUUAACUCGUUAGCUUUUCCUGAUGACUGUUUUAUUGAUUAACCUAGCUUAUCGCGAUGGUUAAAGUGGAAAAAACAUCCUGAUAGCUUGAAAGAGUUCAGAUCAAUCGUUUUGGCAAAUCAUCUUGAAGUUCUCCUUGUAAGAGAUGGAUUAGCUGAUCUUUCUGGAGCAGCAAUGGUGGUUUCGGAUACUAAGAAUGUGUUUGGAAUUAAUCACCUGCGGGAGCAUAUGUUCUUUAAAGAAUAUAAAAAAUUUCCAGGAUAUAAUUAAGUACCUUGCAAAACUUUUUUUUAUACAUAUUGUUUCAAGAGAUCUAACUGCUUUUAUUUUCUAUGUAGUUUGCGGAAUUCCUCAAUGAGAACGGUGGGGAUAAUAAUGCGUAUACAGAAAUGGAAUAUUCCAUGUUCGCUAUGACUAUUUCCCACAAAAAGUUUAGAAAAGCUCUGCAAAUGUUUUCUCAAUUUUUUCACUGUCCUCUUUUCAACAUGGCUUCCCUUGAAGCCGAGUUAACUGCUAUUGAAAAUGAAUUUGAAUUGAAAAGGCUAAAUGAGCUUAUUCGCCUUGAGCAUCUAAAAGGUCAUACGGCUUUUGAGUCUCAUCUUUUUAACCGUUUUGGACAUGGUAUGUUCUUUUUUUUUUUUUGGUAGGAUGGACAUGGUAUGUUCUUAACCUUUGCUCUCUCCCUCUCUUUUUUUUUCCUCAUUUUUAAUUUGUUUUUUUUUCAUUUUUAGGCAAUAGAAACCCUUUCAAAAACUAUUCGACUGAGGAACUCUGUGGUCUACUUUUUGAGUUAUUCCAUAAAAAAAUUUUGGAGGACAAAUGCACCUUGUCAUUUGUGGUAAAGGUGAACUGUUUUAUUUAUUUUUUGCCUUGUUUUCAGUCUUGAUUUUGUUGACUUAAGCUUGAAGUUAACUUAGGCUACAAGCUAUCCAAAUGAGUUUAGGAAAAGUUACUUAUAUGUUUCCUAAUGAGUUAAGGAAAUUAGAAUCAAUAUAUAAAGAGAUACUAUGAUGUAGUAUAACUUAUGAGUUGAGAACUUUAGUUUUUUGAGGUUAAUUUUCUAAAGCUUUGAGUGAGUAAUAAAGAGAUUUGAGUUUGUGUUUGUUGAGUUACGAUUACAAGUUUGAUUUCAAUAAUUGGUAUCGGAGCUUCAAAUUGAAAUCAAACUCGCGUGAGAGACUAACAACAUGGGAGACUUGACGGUGACCACUACUAAACCGAAGGAGAGUAGUUCUUCGGCGGUUAAGUGUCCGAUGCUUACCUCACUGAUCAGUCUAAUGGUGUUUGUAAUUUCUUUAGUUUGGUGUUUGUGUAUAUUAAUAAGGUCUCAUUACUUUUUUUGAAAUGGAUAUAUUUUAGAGUGUCUAUUGUUGAAAAUUAUUGUAGUAGUUUCCUUGAAUGUUGAAUGUCUAUCUUUUGUAUUGUAAACACUUCAGUGAUUAUUCUAAACACUGUGGUCGUAGUUAUAUUGAAUCUUUAGUGUUUAUGUUGGGAAGUGCUAUGCUCCUAACCCUCGUCGAUAAUUGUAAACAUGUGAAACGAAAACCUUCAUAAUUAUGCAUUUUAUGCUAAUUACGUAUUGUCCAAGUGGAAUCACGCAGAAAUAGUUAGUAAUAUAGCAAAAAAAACUGGAAAUUGUUCUUCUCCUGAUUCAUUCUCAUCUUGGGGUUUGAUAUGUUCUGUUUCUUCUCUGUUGGAAACUAAUGUUGACUACCUGAAAACAUAAAAGCAAAAUCUAUAUACUAAACAAAGAAGAAUACACAAUAAAACCUCUCUAAUACCAAACACCAAAACUAAGAGAGUGAUUGAUAUCGAUCAAUCAGAAGACACUUGCACUUCCAGAGUUAUCGCAGGGCGUUCGAUCUUCAGCUUCUUUCUCUUUCCCCAGCUGUAAGGAAGCCAAAAAAAAAACACACACAAGUUAAUUCAACAGAAUGGAAAAAGCUUGGAACACAAGGUAGGGCUUUUGUUUACAUCUUACCCCAGCUGCAAGGAAGUGUCAGAAAGGUGCUCCUCGUUGUCAUUCUUCUCAGGCUCUACUUGUGGUCCUGAUGAACCUCUCCCCACCAUCGACUCUAUCUGAGGAUUAAAUUAGCUUUGAAUAAGUAAAGAGAUAUUGUUAGUUAGUUGUAAACGUUUAAACGAAAUCUCUUACCUGUUUGCGCAAAAGUCGGUUCUCUUCCAAUGUUCUUUUCUCCUGGUAAAGCAUAAUAAGCAAAUGAAACACAGCUCAUGAUGAUGAUGAUGAUGAUGAUUCAGUGUUAGCCUUGUUCUCUCACCUGUAACUGAGAUGUUUCUAGCUGGUUGAGCAAGAUUGUCUGAAAAAAACUGUGCAAGUCAGAGAUGAUUCUUUCAAUCUUUUUGAAUUAAAAAAACAGUCUGUCUUUACCUUUUGAUCUUUGACACGAAGCAAGCUAUCAUUCAACUGGCUUUCAAGAGAAAUAAGAUCCGAGAAACUCAUACCCUCAAGCUCCUUACCCUUCACUCUCCUGCUCUCAUGAACAAACAUCUCAAGAACACAAGCUUUAACGCAAGUUUAGGUUCAAGGGAGAGCAGGGGCGGUCCUGGAAAAAGUGGGGCUCUAAACAAAUGAAAAAAUGGGGGCCCUUCUAACAUAACUGAAAUUUUAAAAUUCGUGAGCAAGAAUUUUUUUUUUAAGCAAAACAGAAAAAAAAAACUAAUUCUCAAACAAAAAGCUAAGAAAACUGUAAAUGUGGGAAGAGAAAAGAUUUAUUUUAUGUAAGUCCCACUAAAUUCUGUUGUUCGAUUUUAUUAUUAAUACAUAUAAAUAUUUUUUUAA
Molecule: long non-coding RNA, 5539 nt
Organism: Brassica napus (rape)
Lineage: Eukaryota; Viridiplantae; Streptophyta; Magnoliopsida; Brassicales; Brassicaceae
Exons: 3
Source: RefSeq, a predicted model, not a curated record